This 822-nucleotide unclassified non-coding RNA is filed under the name Hevea brasiliensis (rubber tree). The record is from RNAcentral. Lineage: Eukaryota; Viridiplantae; Streptophyta; Magnoliopsida; Malpighiales; Euphorbiaceae.
CGGAGAUCCAACUCGUAAACUAGAACUAGGGGAGCUUGAAGUUUGGACUUUGACAUUCAGGUCUGGCGGAUGCGGAAGAGAUACCCUAUACUGCCCUGCAGAUACAGAAGCAGGUUGAGAAUCUCCAGAAAGCCUCAAAUUCUGCUCUAAAUUCCCAGAAUGCAAUGUAGUCCAGCUUUCUCGUAAACUGUUCUCCAGAGAGGAGACACGAUUUGAAGGUGACUGAUGAGAGGAUGAAACAUCUCUUUUAGGAAUAGUUCCAACCAUUUGACCACCAGGCCUUGAGGCGGCCUCUUGUACGUUCGGUUCGCCCUUAGACAUGGACAGCCUUUUUACCUCCAUUUGCGCAGACAAAUCAUACCCUAUCAUACCAUUGAACCCAUUUCUUGGGUUUGCAGAAGGUUUCUGCUUAGCCUGGGAGUUAGAUGGAGGAAUUGCACACGAAAAAUCACCACUAGCCUCUGCUACAUCGUCAUUUUGGCUGUUCAAUGUCUUACCAGCUUCAACAUUUCCAUCAGUAGGCCUGCAUAUGACAGCAGAACCUACACCCCGGAUAGAUGGUAUAACGGUUCUAGAAGAAUGGUGAUCAGCUGCCAAGCAAUCUGAUGAUUUGUUCUGAGAUGAAAAAGUUGACGAUAAUGUUGAUCCUCCACCUUCUCCUACCCAUCCAGGACCAAACUUUACUUCAGCAGGUAAAACAGUUUCUAACUUCUUAGAAGCUACUUUCCAGACAACUGGCCCAAGAUCUGCAGCAAAUCUGGCAAGGCUUCUAGCGUAUGCAUGCUGCUCAAUGUGAACACCAACUGCCAUUAACCGCUUUAG